Molecule: long non-coding RNA, 271 nt
Filed under: Rattus norvegicus (Norway rat)
Lineage: Eukaryota; Metazoa; Chordata; Mammalia; Rodentia; Muridae
Description: long non-coding RNA NONRATT010922
Source: RNAcentral
AUAGAGGCUCCUUCCAAGGGUGACUCGGGGGCACCCCUUGUGUGUGACAACAAAGCUUAUGGAGUUUUGUCCUAUGUAAAAUCCAAGAAGAUUUCUUCAGGGGUCUUCACCAAGGUUGUGUACUUCCUGCCGUGGAUAAGCCAAAACACGGAGCUCCUCUAACAGGUUAACACCUGUGCCCAACCAGCCUGUCUGACCUCAGGCAAGAACCCCAAUGAGUGUGCGUCAAAGGCUGAAAAUCCAUAAUAAAUAACCCCCAAUGUGCAAGUAA